This is a long non-coding RNA of Pseudopipra pipra, 4877 nucleotides long. RefSeq lists it as uncharacterized. The transcript is spliced from 5 exons. Lineage: Eukaryota; Metazoa; Chordata; Aves; Passeriformes; Pipridae. The record is from RefSeq and is a predicted model, not a curated record.
AAGGAAAAAAAAAUCAGAGACAAACCCUUCAUCAGUGAGAACUAUGACCAGAGAAGGUUAAUGCCCUUUAACAGGUCAUGUGCAAGCUUCGUGGCAGCAAAAAGGAACAUUUACCUUAAAGGAUUUGAGUUCUUAUAGCCUUUGGAGCCUAAUGUAACAUCUUACUGGCAUACUUGGAGGACUACGGACUCUAUAAAAAGCAAUUCUUGACCAGAGGGAAUUCCCCAGAUAUGGCAAAGCAGGAUACAGCUCAGCUAAGGGGCAAAGUGUACUAACCUGUGAAGAAAGUCAAGACAACCCAAGUCACGCAGAGGGACAGAGCCACAAGAGAGCUCCCUCCACUUUCUCAGUAAGGUGCCUGCUGCUGCAAUGGGUGAAGAAAGACUGGUUGAGCAAGGACUGGAACCACAUUGCAGCUUUCAGUCUUCAGCAAUGAAAACAUGGAAACUUCACCAGAUGAAGCUUGAUGGAUGGAGGAAGAAAGGGAAGCACUGGCAGAAAAAUAGUGUGUCAGAAGCUGGCUCUGACUGCAUCUCUGAGAUCAGUGAGGAGCAGGAGUGCUCCCAUUUUCCAGUUCUUACAACAGACUGCUGGUCUUGUCACCCAUUGUCCAGGUUUACUGGAAUUCUGAGGUGGUCUUCAACACUUUUCUAUAACCUCAUGACUAACUGUACCUGAUUUACUUUAUUACAAGAUCAUAAUCUGGUCCAUAUUUAAAGGUACUUUCUAUUUUUUCCAAGAUGAUUUUGGGUGCAAAACUGAAAAGGAAUUCUGGUAGAGGAGUAUUCUAUCACUUACCAAUGGAAAAAAAAAUGGUCUAGCAUUCAUUGUGUUACACUGAUAAAUGUAAAUAGUGACAAUUCAUGAACAAAAUUCUUUCUAAAGCAUGAGAUCAGAAUACUAAAAAGUAAUUGUAUUCUGAGUUCUUUUAAUUCUUUAGUUUAUUAGUUGUCAAAAAAUUAGAGUUGGUUUUCAAGUUCUUUCCUUCAGCAAGUCAAAAACUUGCUUGAAAAAAACCAAAACAUUAAAAAAGAACAAAAACAAAAACAAAAGAAAGACAAACCGGGGUUCUGGAUGAAUUCUGGACUUGCAGAGAAAUACCAGGUAUGGAAAAAUCACAAGAAAACUACACCACAUGCCAACAUUAUACUCUUACACUCUCGGGUGAUAUAAAGAUAACUGGAAUUAAGCUUUGAGUUUUAUUUCGAUAGAAAUAAACUAAGAAUUUAUUUCAAAAGAAAGAAACUAAGAAUUAACUCAUAAGUUAAUAAUUUAUUAAUGAUUUCUGCCUAUGUUACUCCAAAAUUUCAUACCUUCUUAAAUAUUUUUAUGUUUUUAUAGUUCUUGUUUACAGUGGUAGUACAGUUAUUGCUACAGUACUUGAAAGGCAUAAAGGGAAAAUUUUACAUCAGUCAUUGAACAGCAUUGGAUUGUCUGUGUUUUUCUACAAAGCCAGAGAAAGUACUUACAAAGUACAGUUUAGUGAUGUUCAGUGUGUUUAGGUGAUUAUUAGAGAUCUCAUAGGGAUUGACAGCAUAAAUACAUUUGAAUGUCUUGAAAAGAAAAACUUUUCUUUUGACUUUAAAAUGUUUUAUACAUCACAAAAUUUAAUAUAUGGCAAAGCAGAAGUAGUUUUAAACAGGUUUCAGCUGUUCAAUAGUCCUGUUUGUAGGUAUUUAUUUGGUAGAGAAUGGAAAAGAAUGAAAUAUGGUUUAAUUAAAACUGUCAAAAAGGCACCAAAAUUAACUUAGCAGGAGGGAUAAAGUUAACAAAUCUUAGCUUUUUGUCUCUCUGUAUGAUCAGCACUCAUAUACCACAGUUAUUUGACCUGUUAAGAGAUACACAAAACCACACAGCCAGCCCUCCUUUAUUGUAGCUUAUUGUCUUGGACACCGCAGGAAGAAAGACAUAAUAGAGGCAAUGUGGUUUAAUUAGGCCAGAACUUGAUUAACUUUGCACAUUGGGGAUGUCUUUCAGAAUUCACUCAUCUAGAGCAAAGAUUACUCAUUGUACCAUCUGGAGGAGGGUUGCCCACUGCCCUGCUGCCCUCCCAGCACUUAACCUGGCCUGGCCUCCCCACAGGGAGCUGCUCCUUCAACCCACACGGGAGAUGAGGGGAGGGAGGGCAGACUCUGGACCUGUGCUCUGGCAGCCAGGGAAAGCCUGACACCCUAACACCUGCUGCAUUGCAAGACACCCACUUAUAUUGUUUUAAAAGCCUUGCUUGACAGGAAAUCCAGCUCUUGAUGGACAGCUACCUUGAGAGGAUAAAUAUCCAGCUGCAGAAACAUGACCGUGACCUGAUCUAUAUUACUUACCAUCAGCCUGUGAGAAUGAGAUUGGAAGUAAACACAGCAAGUAAUCCUGUUUAAGAACACUAUAAACCAUCUUCAUAGAUUAGACUAGUGACAUCAUUUUCAAAAACACUGAAAGUAAUAUCAUCAACUUGUUAAAGACAAAAAUGUAUGUGGUGGGGUUUUUUUUCCUUUUUGCUAGUAGAAGAUAUAACAUCUUCUCUUCUAAAACCAGGUCAGAUAUGAGGGUGUUUCCCAAUGAGUGGAACAGGGGCAGUGAUGAGGGAAUGUUUGCAUCUCAUCCAAACAUUCCAUUUCCAUUUUCCUUCUGAUGUUGCCUCUUCCUCUCCCCAUUAUAAAUAUUUCAUUUUUAUCCCAUUUUAAAUGAUGUUUGAAGUGUUGUGUUUUGCAAUGCUAAACUGUAAUGUUUGCUCUUGCAGGAAUGCUGCCUUUUCCUUCAAUGAAAUUCUGAGGAAGUCAACCUGUAGUUGUGAUAUAUUUCCUGUAAUUGGAAGACAUUUUGCAUCAAAAUACCUCAGGAUAGUAAUGCUCUGUAUGUUCAAAUCAUCCUUUCCUUUAACUGUUCCAAUUUGACUAUAAAAGACUCGCAUUCGGCAUUUCUCUCACAGAGUCCCACACUAGCGUGGUAACAACUGCAAAUGUAAUAAUGAUCGUCCUCCUGUGGUCACGGUGCUCUGCCAAAGCUAUGGUUUUGGAAUGACCAUAUGCAUUCCAAAUCAGCGAGUUUGCAAAAGACAUCCUAAUAACUGGUAUGGGGUUUCAGAACGUGCUUAGCUGCCUUGGCGUGUUUGCAAAAAGAACAUGAGAGCAGCAAAAUAAAAUCCUGCUAACGUGCUCUGAUGUGCUUCAUUCAGAAAGUUCACUACUCUUCUCUGUCCUCCUGUGCCCACACAGACAUUCAUCUCAUGCAUUACUCACACUCCUCCCCUCAUGACAUUUCCUCUGCCUUCCCUGUGAAGACAUUUAUCCACGCUCAGUGCUGUUUACUACAUUAGAAAUGUCCCACGCAUUUACUAUUAGACUGAAUGCUCUUUGCAGGUAAGAUCAACCCAUGAUCCACCUACAAUUCAGCAAGCAUGAGUGCCUCCUACCAUCCCGAGGACAGAAAGAUUAUACUUUGUGUGCUGAGCACCAUCUGAACAUAUCCACACCAACAUUCAUCCAUAAGCCCUGACAAGUGAGGGGUUUUUUUCGAAGAGGCUUUCAUUCCCUUGCAUUCUAUUUCAUGCUUUCAUGCUAUGUGUAGAUUUUCCUUUACAGUAAUUUUGGUGGAAUUUUAAAAGAAGAUCCAGAAUCUUCUACAGAAAGUCCUCUGUGAAAUUACUCGAUCCAGAAAGGGUUGUCUGUUCCGCUUAUUUUAUUUCAAGCAAGAAAGAUGUCCCUAGAAUACUAUAUAUAAUUUAGUCUGAGCAAAAUAUAGCAUGUACUAUGAUGUGAGCAUUGAUUUUUUUUUUUCUUUGCCCAUCUAUUAUCUCAAUGAACAUAUUUGGAGAAGGUACAACAGUAAAUCAGUUGUAGAAAUUAUCCUUGAAUUAAGAUGAGAGAAGAGAAUUCACAGCACUGUCACCUGGGCACAUAUAAGAAAUGGAGUUAUUAUGCUCACCUUCUCUACUAAAACAAUGCAUUAGAAAGGUUUGGCUUCUUGUAAGUAAUUUCAUAAAUACAUUAUUAUCUAGCAACAGGCAAAAAACCCCCCUGUGACUAUUGGCAUUAUCUACGCUUCAUCUGGAUUCUGGAGAGCAACAUGAAUGGAGAAUGGAUAAGCUGACAGACAUAAUACAUCAAAGGAAUUAAAAGCAGCACCUGGUAGUAAAUGUGUAUUUUACAGCUACUUCCUGAGCUGCUCCAGACAGUGUUACUGCUUGAAUUCACAGCGUAAGGAAAAGUCUAGAUUUUGCAACCUACCCAGUGAUGGGAAUGUGAUUGCUUUUAUAGUCCAUAUCUGCCACCUAUUACCUGUCAGCUACAUCACUCUGGUUUUGUGCACUCCAUUCAGAACACCUACCAAGAUAACCUACAAAUAACUUCACUUUUUGAGGAGGAAUAAAAAGAAUUCCACUUAGCCGUAGCAGGGCUUGUCACUAAAGCCAUUAAGACAUUGGGUUUUUACACUGUAUCUCUGCUGGAUACAAUUUGAAACACCACGUUUUCCAGCUUUGUACCUUAUCUCAUAUAUAUGUUCACAGGCACACAGUUAAACUCAGGCUUAAUGUAAUUUGACUAGAAAAUCCAUUUAAAUUGUUCACAGAAUAAAAGAUUAUUUCAGAACAAGGUGUCUAGACGGCAUUUCUAUUUAAUUUCUGGUGAGAUCAUUCUAAGUCCACUUCCAGCACUCAUCCAGGGGAUUUCCACCACAAGCUUUUGCUGCAUUAAAGGCAAUGUCUACACUGGGGUUUUAUUCUGAUUCUUGAUGACAGACCAGUGUUGCUUUACUAAUCUGAGCCCUGCCACGUGCUGCUGUUUACAGUGCUAGAGAUUAUUCUAGACUGAAGGUGGGUCGGUGACACAGGAGCAAGGAGCAGCUCUGCGUGCCUGCGCUGUGCUGUGACCACAACCCCAUCA